CUCAACUCUAAACCUUAACCAUCAAUCCUAAACCCUUUUUUUUAAAUACGAACCCUAAACCCUAAACCAUCAAUCCUAAACCUUAUUUUUUUUUUAAAUACAAACCCUAAACUCCGAAACAUCAACUCUAAACCCUAAACCCCGAAACAUCAACUCUAAACUCUAAACCCUAAACCUUCAACUCUAAACCCUAAAACAUCAACUCUAAACCCUAAACUUCAACUCUAAACCCUAAACCAUCAACACUAAACCCUAAAAUAUCAUUACUAAACCCUAAACCCUAAAAAGUAAACUCUAAACCCUAAACCCUAAAAAAUUAACCCUAAACCCUAAAACAUUAACUCUAAACCUAAACCCUAAAAAGUAAACUCUAAACUCUAAACCCUAAAAAAUUUAACCCUAAACCCUAAAACAUCAGCUCUAAACCCUAAGCCAUAAACCUUCAACUCUAAAACCUAAACUCUAAACCCUAAAUCCUAAACCCUAAUCCCUAAACCCUAAAACCCUAGAGUUGAUGUUUUAGGGUUUAGAUUUGAAGGUUUAGGGUAUUAGGGUUUAGGGUUUAUGUUUAGGGUUUAGGGUUGAUGUUUUUGGGUUUAGAUUUGAAGGUUUAGGGUUUUAGGGUUAGGGUUCGAAUUUCAGAAAAAUAUAGGGUUUAGGGUUUACGUUUAGUGUUUAGAGUUGAUGUUUUAGGGUUUAGAUUAGAAGGUUUAGAGUUUAUGUUUCGGGGUUUAGGGUUUAGAAUUGAUGUUUCAGGGUUUAGGGUUUAGAGUUGAUGUUUCGGGGUUUAGGGUUUAGAGUUGAUGAUUUAAGGUUUAAAUUGAUAUUUUAAGUUUAGAUUUAGGGUUUAGGGUUUACCUUUAGGGUUUAGAGUUGAUAUUUUAGGGUUUAGAUUUGAAGGUUUAGGGUUUAGGGUUUAGAGUUGAUGUUUCGGGGUUUAGGGUUUAGAAUUGAUGUUUCGGGGUUUAGGGGUUUAGUUUUGAUGAUUUAAAGUUUUUCAUGUUUUAAGUUUAGAUUAGUUAACCGUAUGUUUUUUUUUUCAAACUUAAUCAAAAGGUUAAAAAUGUCUUUUACCCUUCAUCAAAGAUAAGAUGAAGGUAAAAGUUGUUAGUGUAAACAUGAAAACUGGUACUUUGAAAAUUGUAUUUUUGGCAAUUUUCCAAAUAAAAUUUGAAUACAUAAAUACUUAAAAGUUAUUAAAAUGUUGAAUGUUAGAUAUUGAGAUAGAUAUCUUUUAAUGGAUUAUUGGUUGUUGUGUUUUAAUAGAUUUGAAAAUCCGAACUAAAUCUAGUGUUAUUGGUUCUGUGAUUUUAAAAUCCGUAUUAAAUCAUAUGUUAUUGGUUUAAUGAUUCAUAAAUUCUAUACUAAAUCAGUGUUAUUCAAUCGUACAGAUUUACUAAUACAUUUUAUUUUAUAAUGGAUUUGAAUAGAUUUGUUUGGAUUUUUUAGUUAAAAAUACAAAGACUCAAAUCCGAGAGAAAACCUCUGGAUUUCCAUAUUUUACUUGGAUUUAUAAAUAUUAUAUGGAUUUCUAAAUCAAUCAAAAUAUAUAAACCAAUAACACCUCGUGUUGAGACUUGAGAUGUUCUAAUAUAGCCUUUAUUGAUUUAGAAUUAUAAUAUAACUAAUAUAACCUUUAUAUAGCUUGCUUUUUAUUAAAAAGAAAACUGUUUUCUUUAAUUAUUAUUCAAGGCUUUCAGGAAAAUUAUUGGUAUCAUCCCAUGGGAAAUUACAUGUUUACCACUUUUAUGCGACAACUUUUCAUUUUUACCACCACUAAAAUGACAUUUUCAAAAAUACCUUCUUCAUUAAUUGGCAAAAGACUCUUAUGCCAUUAUUCUUUAUAUAUAUAAUAAAUAAAUAUUUCAAUAAAUAAAAAUUCAAAAAACUAAAAAUAAUUUUUUUUAAGUUUUUUUCGAAUUAUACUAUUUCGAAAUUUAAACCCUAAACUCGAAAACUCAACUCUAAACCCUAAACCAUCAAUCUUAAACCCUUUUUUUUUAAAUACGAACCCUAAACCCUGAAACAUGAACUCUAAACCCUAAACCCCGAAACAUCAACUCUAAACCCUAAACCCUAAACCUUCAUCUCUAAACCCUAAAACAUCAACUUUAAACCCUAAACCCUAAACUUCAACUCUAAACCCUAAACCAUCAACACUAAACCCUAAACUAUCAACACUAAACCCUAAACCCUAAAAGUAAACCCUAAACCCUAAACCCUAAAAAAUUAAACCUAAGCCCUAAAACAUCAACUCUAAACCCUAAAACCUAAACAUUCAACUCUAAACCCUAAACCCUACAUCCUAUAUCCUAAACCCUAUAUCCUAAACCCUAAGUUGAUGUUUUAGGGUUUAGAUUUGAAGGUGUAGGGUUUUAGGGUUUAGGGUUUAUGUUUAGGGUUUAGAGUUGAUGUUUUAGGGUUUAGAUUUGAAGGUUUAAGGUUUUAGGGUUUAGGUUCGAAUUUCAGAAAAAUAUAGGGUUUAGGGCUUAUGUUUAGGGUUUAUAGUUGAUGUUUUAGGGUUUAUAGUUGAUGUUUUAGGGUUUAGGGUUUAGAGUUGAUGUUUCGGGGUUUUGGAUUUUGAGUUGAUGUUUCAUGGUUUAGGGUUUAGGGUUUAGAGUUGAUGAUCUAGGGUUUAAAAUUGAUGUUUUAAGUUCAGAUUUAGAGUUUAGGGUUUACGUUUAGGGUUUAGAGUUGAUGUUUUAGGGUUUAGAUAUGAAGGUUUAGGGUUUAGAGUUGAUGUUUCGGGGUUUAGAGUUGAUGUUUUAGGGUUUAGAUUUGAAGGUUUAGGGUUUAGAGUUGAUGUUUCGGGGUUUAGAGUUGAUGUUUCGGGGUUUAGAGUUUAGAGUUGAUGUUUUAGGAUUUAGAGUUGAUGUUUUAAGUUUAGAUUAGUUAACAAUAUGUGUUUUUUGUCAAACUUAAUUUAAAGGUUAUAAAUGUCUUUUACCCUUCAUUAAAGAUGAAGGUAAAAAUGAUUAGUGUAAACAUGAAAAGUGGUACUUUGACAGAAAAAUAUAGGGUUUAGGGCUUAUGUUUAGGGUUUAUAGUUGAUGUUUUAGGGUUUAUAGUUGAUGUUUUAGGGUUUAGGGUUUAGAGUUGAUGUUUCGGGGUUUUGGAUUUUGAGUUGAUGUUUCAUGGUUUAGGGUUUAGGGUUUAGAGUUGAUGAUCUAGGGUUUAAAAUUGAUGUUUUAAGUUCAGAUUUAGAGUUUAGGGUUUACGUUUAGGGUUUAGAGUUGAUGUUUUAGGGUUUAGAUAUGAAGGUUUAGGGUUUAGAGUUGAUGUUUCGGGGUUUAGAGUUGAUGUUUUAGGGUUUAGAUUUGAAGGUUUAGGGUUUAGAGUUGAUGUUUCGGGGUUUAGAGUUGAUGUUUCGGGGUUUAGAGUUUAGAGUUGAUGUUUUAGGAUUUAGAGUUGAUGUUUUAAGUUUAGAUUAGUUAACAAUAUGUGUUUUUUGUCAAACUUAAUUUAAAGGUUAUAAAUGUCUUUUACCCUUCAUUAAAGAUGAAGGUAAAAAUGAUUAGUGUAAACAUGAAAAGUGGUACUUUGAAAAUGAUAUUUUUAGCAAUUUCUCAAAAAUCACAAGGGGACAAUUGAGUUUUUCUAAGACAUUCUAUAUCAUCUAGCUUCAAACUAGGCUAUAUUUUAACAAUAUGGUAUAAUAGCACAAUUACGGUUCGUUAGAGGAUGGCACGGGAAUGGAGUGCAAGCCAAGAGAAGACCAUAAAAGCGACACCAAAAAGGCACCCUACGCCUAUUGUACCUGAGAACUGUUCUAUACUCCGCACGGAUGCGGCGUGGAGAGCGACAAAUCAACAGGCAUGACUGGGUUGGAUCAUCAAACAUCAGAUGAGCACUAGAUCGGGCUCGUUGGCGGUUUCGUCAGUAGGAUCAGCGCUCUCAGCAGAAGGGAUGGCAAUGAGAGAAGCACUAUCUGAGUGUAGACGAUCGAGGAUAAUAAGAUUAGUCUGCGAAUCUGACUCUACCCAAUUGGUUAAAGCGCUCACUGGCAAGGAGGUUCCCUUGGAGCUAUAUGGGAUUGUGGCCGACAUUGUUGAGCAUGGUUGUCAUUUUGAACGUAUUUCUUUUCGAUGGAUCUCUAGAGAGAAAAACUCUGAAGCUGAUGCAUUAGCAAAACAGAGUCUUGUAGAUGGUGAGGUCUUAAUGGCUAUCACCUAACUUUAAGUUGGCAUUAAUAUAAGUUGUGUUUCCAAAAAAAAAAGAUACCAUUUUCUAGAUAAUAUUGUUGGCUAGUAGUUGAAAUAAAAAAAGAUAUGUACUUAUUUUAGCAAAAGAAGAAAGAUAUGUCAAAAAAAAGAAAAAGAAAGAUAUGUACUUGUUUUUUUGUAAAAACAAAUGUACUUGUUUUUUUGUAAAAACAAAUGUACUUGUUUGACAAAAGAAAUGUACAUUACCUCAAAACCAAAUGCAUUAAAAAAGAUUUGUAUAAAAUUGAAACGUUACGCAUGUAUUGUAGUAGUUUUUUUUUUAAAUUAGUAUUCAUGUAAGAUCCAUAUUCAUUACUUUAAAUAAAUGGUUUUUUUUAUCGGCGAAGUUUUUUAAGAUAAUGUCACUUGAGGACUAAUCAAUCAUAUUUGUUAACUCACUCGAGUGACCAAUGUUAGUUAGCCAACUUUGAAAGUAAUUUAGAAAUUAAAAUCCCUUUUUGACAAAUAAGAAAUAAAGAAAUAUUAAUGAUUAAAGACUGUCAGCUUUCUACUAUUUGUUUGCUAAAAGAUAUAAAAAAUGUGAUCAUUUUCGUUGGGUUUGAACGCAAGUUUGCACAUAAAAUUAGAAAAGAAGAAUACAAACCGGCAUGCCAACUUGACUUUUGUCAGCUUUCUACUUUGCAGACAUAAAAAUCAUUCCGACUUAAUCCCAACACAUUCUUAUACAAAACCUUUUUCUUUCUUAUAUUUUUACUGUAUAUGUAUCUUAUAGAAUUUGUGGUUCAUUUUUAAGUUACCUUGUGCACCAAGGUUUCGCAUGCUUAGCAAUUUUCAGUGAAUUAUAAGAUCUAUCUAAAUAAAUUUUCAUAAUACACACCAAAUUCAGAAUUAAAAACCUCUACAAUAAUCUAGAGAAUUUGAAUGGUUUGAAGAAAGAAAAGAGAGAUUAUCGGACUCUUAUGAACUCAAUGAUUGACCGACGGUGAGGAAAUAAAAAACUAGAGCAUCUGAUACUAUCUUGUACUUAAAGAUAUCUAAUACUUUAGCUUUCUCUUACUGUACUAUUUAGUAUCCCUUGGUUCUCUUUAAAAUAUAAAUUAUUAUAAACUAAUAAAUACAUAAAAUAAAUUUUAAUGUUAAAACAGUUUAUUUAUUUAAUAGACUUUUUUUUAAAAAAUGUAGAGAGUAAUUUUACACUGACUUACAGAGAUACUGAUGUAUAACACAUGAUUAAAAUUAAUGUAGAUGCAUACCAAAUUUUUAAAAGAAAGAAGGAGAUCUUAAAUGGAAUUUUUGGUUUGCGUAUUUAGUAAAUUUAGAAAUUCAAACGGUAUUUAGUGUUGUUCGUUUUAUGAUUUUUUGUUUUAAAAUAAUGUAGGAUUUCUUUUGUGGUUUAUAAAUUCUAGUUGAAAUCAUGUAUAUUAUUCAAUCAUAAAAAAUUACUUAAAAGGUAUAAUAGAUUUUAGUGUUUUUAAAUAAUUUUUUUAUUAAAAUAAGACCUAAAUCUGAGAGAAAAUGUUCCAAAAUUUGUAAAUAUUAAUUCACAGGGUUGAUUUGGCUAUCAGUAUAUUUGUAUGAAUUUGUAAAUUUUAUAUGAACAUUUUAAAUUUAAUAAAAUAUAUAAAUGAAUAAACAAUGGAUAUGAAAUUUUUUAUAUAAAUAUAGUCUAUAUGAAUUGCAAAUGAUAUGCAAUUUUCUCAAAGAUUAUUGGAGGUAAAAGACACAUGGUAAUGUAAGAUGAAGACGAAAAGAUAAAUACUUCAAAUGUAGACCACACAAUUACUAGCAACAAACAAAAAUGUUCCUUUUGCAACUUUCUUCUAUAUGUAAACAUAAAUCUAAAGACUCUCUUCUUUGUGAAAUGAUACUUUGUUAAUCACAACCACACGAUUAACUAUAACGAACCGUUCAAAGUUGUCAAAUUGUCAAUAUCAAUUAGACCUUACUUAUUUAUCUUGGCUUAACUUAAACUAAACCAUUAUCAAUCUAGGGGAAAAAAUGAUCAAACUGGGAAAAUUUUUUGUCACAGGAACUAAACAGUGUGUGUUUUUAGUUAAGUGUAGUGUUACUUAUUUGAUCCCUCUUUUUACAAACAUCAAAAUUUUAUUAUCUUCUUCUAGGACAGACUAAAAUACUGGGAUCGAAAGAACUUAACCAAAUCCGAUCUGAAAAAAUUGUAAACCAAAAAUUGUAAUCUUUAAAAAAAAAAUCAGGGCCUUAAAUCUUUAGGGGGUGUUAUUGGUUUAUGUAUUUUAAUGGAUUGGAAAAUCCAAACCAAAUACAGUGUUAUUGGUUUUAUGAUUUUAAAAUCUAUAUUCAAAUAUAGAGUUAUUGGUUUUAUGAUUUUAAAAUAAAUUUCAAAAUCUAGUGUUAUUCAAAAACAAAGAUUUAUUUAAGGAUUUGAUUUGAAAUUGGAUUUGAGUGGAUUUAUCCAUGUUUUUAGAGUAAAAAUAUAAAGAAGCAAAUAUUGAGUUCAACCUUGUUAUUUUGAUUGGAUUUGUAAUAUUUUUUUCCACUUCUUUACAUUUGGACAAGUUUUCACGUACAUAAUACGUUUUCUAUUUGUCAACCCCGUCAAUAUCCCUAAACCUAUGUAUUCAGUCAAUAUAUUAUUAUCGCGUUCAUCAUUACCUUCUACUCUCUGAGUAACAAAUGAAUUCUCAACUUGUUCAAUUUAUUAUAAUCACCGGUAAUAGUUCAAAGUUUUGAGUUAUAUUCUCUUGUAUGUAAUUAACUAGCUUUGGACCUUCCUAAAUGUUACCUUGUCACUUUCCAACACUAAGCAACAAAAAUUAGUAUAUUCGAACAAUUUCUCUGUUCCAAAACAUUUUCCCUCAUGAACUAGUAAGGUCAUUAUUUAGGUCUAGUUACAAUUCACCUAUUUUGAAUUAUUAAAAUACAUCAAAGUCUCGUCCCACUUAAUUGUAAUAACUCGUUGCUUAGUCGAUUGGAUCCACUUUAUUAAUCUAUUUUAUUGAUUCAAUCUAGUUACUUGCUCGAUUGAAUCCAUUUUAUAGAUUUAUAACAAUUCACCAUUUUUGAUUUUGAAACUCAUAUAAAUUAUUCCUAAAUCCACUUGUUGAUUUUUAAAAUCUUGGAUUUACCAAAGAUUUUUAAAUCUAUUGAAAAUCCAUUAAAAUACUAAAACCAAUAACCCCUACUUAAUGCUUAAACUCUUUUUUGGACAUUUAAUUUUUUUCAAAAAAAAUGUCUUAGCCAAAAUACUUUGUUAACUCAAAAAAUAAUUAUAGAUUUUUCUGUAAUCUUUUUUUUUUUUAAGUUCAAGUUUUUUUAACUAAUUGUUUUUAACAACUAUCUUUAGAAAAAAAAAAUUAAAAUGUGUUUGGAUGAUGAGAAAUUGCCAAAAAUAUCAUUUUCAAAGUACUACUUUUCAUGUUUACACUAACCACUUUUACCCUCAUCUUUAAUGAAGGGUAAAAGACAUUUAUAACCUUUUGAUUAAUUUUGACAAAAAAAAAAAUAUGGUUAACGUAUCUAAACUUAAAACAUCAACUCUAAACCCUAAAUCAUCAACUCUAAACCAUGAAACAUCAACUCUAAACUCUAAACUCUAAACCCUAAACCCUAACCCCAAAACCUUCAAAUCUAAACCCUAAAACAUCAACUCUAAACUCUAAACGUAAACCUUAAACCCUAAAUUUAAACUUAGAAUAUCAACUUUAAACCCUAAAUCAUCAACUCUAAACACUAAAUCAUCAACUCUAAACUCUAAACCCUAAACCCUAAACCCUAAACCUUCAAAUCUAAACCCUAAAACAUCAACUCUAAACCUUAAACGUAAACCUUAAACCCUAAAUCUAAACUUAAAACAUCAACUUUAAACCCUAAAUCAUCAACUCUAAACACUAAACCAUGAAACAUCAACUCUAAACCCUAAAGCGCGAAAUAUCAACUCUAAACCCUAAACCCUAAACCUUCAAAUCUAAACCCUAAAACAUCAACUCUAAACCCUAAAUAUAAACCCUAAACCCUAAAACCUAUAUUUUUCUGAAAAUCGAACCCUAAACCCUAAAACCCUAAACCUUCAAAUCAAAACCCUAAAACAUCAACUUUAAACCCUAAACAUAAACCUUAAACCCUAAACCCCUAAACCUUCAAAUUUAAACCCUAAAACAUCAACUCUAGGGUUUUAUGGUUUAGGGUUUAGGAUUUAGGGUUUAGGGUUUAGGGUUUAGAGUUAAAGGUUUAGGGUUAGAGUUGAUGUUUUAGGGUUCAGGGUUAAUUUUUUAGGGUUUAGGGUUUAGAGUUUACUUUUUAGGGUUUAGGGUUUAGUGUUGAUAGUUUACGGUUUAGUGUUGAUGGUUUAGGGUUUAGAUUUGAAGGUUUAUGGUUUAGGGUUUAGAGUUGAUAUUUUAGGGUUUAGAGUUGAAGGUUUAGGGUUUAGGGUUUAGGGUUUAGAGCUGCUGUUUCGGGGUUUAGGGUUUAGAGUUGAUGUAUUUAAUGAAGAAGAUAUUUUUAAAAAUGUCCAUUUAAUGGUGGUUAAAAUGAAAAAUGAUAGUACGAAAGUGGUAAACAAGUAAUGUCUCCGUGAUUUUUAGUAAAUUAAGCUAUGUAAACUUAACGAGAAUAAAAGAAAAGAAAAUCUUUACACGCACGUUAUUGCUUUUUUUUUUUACUGUAGUGGAGUUGGCAAAGUAGCCAGAGAGUGUUUUGUGUGUGAGGGAAAGAUCAAAGAUGAGUUUUGCUAAAUGACAUUUUCUGAUAUCCACAUCUUUUAAUUAAUAUUUACAAAUCCGAAAUUUUCUCUCAGAUUUAAUUCUCAUUUUAAUAAAGAUUACUUCUAAAUACAAUACAUAAAUUAUGAAGUUAUUUCUGUAUGACUGAAUAAUAUAUGAUUUGAAUUGGAAUUUAUAAUCACAAAAUAGAAACACAUUAUUUUAAAAUAAAUUUUAAAAUCAUAAAAAGAACAGUACUAAGUUUUGUUUGAAUUUUAAAAUCUAUUAAUAUACGCAAACCAAAAAUUUCAGUUAAGAUCUUCAUCUUCUUUUUUUUAAUAGAAUUUUCUAUGUAUCUAAUAUUAAUCUAAUUUUAGUAAUGUGAUAUACAUCAGUAUAAUCAAAUACCUAAGCCAAACAUUUAUAUCCAUUAAUAUCUAAUCUUAUAUAUUAAAACAGAAGUCACAACUUUGAUUCAUUUGUGAUUUUUUAAAAAAUAGACCUAAUAGACAUAUUCCUAAAAAAAUCAUGUUACAUUUAAUCUCUAAUCUUAUCAUUUAAAUUUUAGACCUACCAGAAAUUUUUAUUGGGCUAUCAAUAAUUGGAUUUAAACAAUAGAUGCUCCGUUGGAUUUAUGGUAUAAAUUAAAUAGAUAUAAUUUAAUGUUGUAAUACUAUACCUCCAUAUGUUAAUUAUUUAAAUAUUUGUCGAUAUUAAUUUUUAAAAUUAUAAAGAUUCAUUUUUAAAUAAAAAAACAUCAUAUUAUCUAACAAUGAUUAAUAUUUACUACAUUAAACCAAUGAAAACAAAUUUAAAACUAUAUAGUUUAUUUUAAAAAUUAAACAAAAACUAAAUGUUUAAUUAUUUACUCGAUAAUAUAAAUCAAUGAAACGAAAAGUUUAAUUUUUAGAAAACUUUCUAAAUUUGUGAAAUGUUAUAAUAUCUUUGAAUAUGACAAUAAAAAAAUAUUUUACUAAUCUUUAUAUAUAUAGUUACGAUUUUAAUAAUGAAAAAAUAAUCUAAAAAUAUAUAUAUAUAAAAAAUAUACAAAUACAUGUGAAAGUUUGAAAAAAUUUAUUCAAUGAAAAAAAAUAUACCGUAAACUUAUUAUGUUUUAAAAAUUGAUAUACACAUAUAUAUUAUAAUAUAUACCAAUUUAGAAUUGAAAAACAAAUUAUAUAAAAAUAAUUGAAACAAAAACCUGUGCGGUUGCGCGAAUCGAGAUCUAGUAUUAUCUAAAAGUGAAUUACCCUAAUAUAUUUUGUAUCUAAAAUAAUUUAAACUAUCUGAACAACCUUGAUAUUUGUUUUUAACAACUAUAUUUAUUUAUUCAUAAAAUGUGAAAUUACAUAAACUCCAAAGAGAAACAAGAAAACAAUGAAAUACAUAAUUAAUAUAAAGGAACAACAAUACAUAUAAAAAUAUCAAGUUGUUAAAAUAUCGUAAGAGAUCGAGUGUGAAUAAUCAGAAGAAAACUGACAGAGUUGUUAUAAAAGUAAUGGAAAACUCUAUCUUUAUUCAUAACAUAGAUGUUUCUUAUAUAGAAGAUUAUACCGUCAUAGAUAAAUGGAAAUAUUACAAAUCAUAAUCUCUUGGUUAUGAGCCAUCCACAAUCUGGUUCAUAACACUCCCUUUUGGAUGCCAUAACCAAUUAGAGUUGGUAAUGUGCUUUAAUGUUGCCUCAUUAAAACCUCACCAGGAAAACCCAAUUGGGACAAAACCAUGGUGAAGGAAAAAUAAUAUAACACACAUUACUCCCCCUGAUUUGGACAUUACUGAAGGUCCCUUGGACCUCUCCAAUUUUCUGCAAUCCGUGGGUGAUGAAGAUCUUGGGCAGAAUAUGCUUCGUUCUCGAACAUGAUAGUUGGUUCUUCUUUACCAUCAGCCAUGCCACAAUCUGAUCGAACAUAUUGAGUCAUCGACCUCAAAUACACACACGAAAUCUUGGAUGAUGUUGUUGUGAUAUGCGUGUACCACCAUGUGUGAAACAUAACCUGUCUGAAAACAAAUCAACAAAACCAAAUAACCCCUCUUUGGGCUGGUUAUUAUAAAAUAAACCAAAAUCAAAGGUUUCUUCAUCGUCCUUCUUAUGGACCAAUCAGAUCAGUGUCUAAAACAAGACUUCUGCAUCGUCCAUCUCAGGACUAAAUGGACUUCUUUAUCGUCCACCUUUGGACUGAAUGGAUCAGUGUCCAAAACAAGUGAUCUCACGCCCAUGUACUAGAUAAUGGGUGAGACUGGUCCAUAUUAAAUCUCUUGAGUACCCUUUUCUGUAUAUACUAUUUGAUGCACAAGGAUUUCAUUGUUAAUGUACUCAAGCUGUAAUCCCAAACAAAACUUUGUUUUCCAAGAUCUUUCAUCUCAAACUCUUUCUUGAGAUAUUCAACUGUUUGGGAAAUUGUAUCCAGAGGUUCCUAGGAUAUUCAGAUCAUAUACUUUGAUGAUUAUCAAUAUUGUUCUCGAGAACUUGCUGUACUUUCAGCUCAAUACCCUCUAGUACUUUCAUUAUCCAGUGGACCAUAUAAAUAUGCAGUCACUACAUCAACUUGUUGCAAGUCUAAUUUUCUCUCUUAUAUAGCCAGACUUAUGAGAAAUCUAAAAGUAGUUGCAUCCACCACAUGGGAGUAUGUCUCCUCAUAAUCUAUUACUGGUCUUUGUGAGAAUCCUUGUGCAACAUCAGCUUUAUAUCUCACGAUUUCUAUUCCUCACAAGACCCAUUUAUAUCCACUGGUUUUAACAUCAUAUGGCGUCUUAAUCAUAUGGCCAAAUACGCCUUUCUUCUUUAAACUAUUUAACCCCACGUUUCCAUUCAAUCCAAUCUGUUCUACGAGUGCGCACUCUUAUAUUGACGUGGGUUCAUGAUCCUCGCUUAUAUUCAUAAAUUCAAGUGCUACCUUGUAUGCAAAUAAAUCAUCUUAUGUCGACAUUCCUUAUUGGUUCCAUUAUGUUCCAGACAUGAUAUAAUCGAUUGAGAUUCAUUAUUAUCAUGACCUUUAAUACUUUGCAUCUUGGCAUCCCAAGCUACAUUGUUUGGUACCUGUGCCUUAGAGCCGGCCGGCCUUAUCUCCAUGUUUGGAAUGGUUUCCUUAGUAACCUCAGAUUUAGAUUUUGAUUAUCAUUCUCUGCACCUUUCUUUUAUUUCCGAGGAUUCUUAUCUUUUGGAACCUAUUGGUCUACAACGUUUCAUACGUUGUUUAGACACUGUAGCAACUUGACUGUGUCUCUUCUUGGACAUCAAAUUCGUUGGUGCUUUACAAGCUGGUUUAUAUAUGACUUAGUCAUUCUUUUUCGGGUCAGCAAAUGUGUCUGGCAUUUGAUUAGCUAGCUUUGUAAAUGUAUAAUCUUUGGACGUCUAUUUCACAUUCUUUAGUCCGAGGAUCUUGCCAAGANNNNNNNNNNNNNNNNNNNNNNNNNNNNNNNNNNNNNNNNNNNNNNNNNNNNNNNNNNNNNNNNNNNNNNNNNNNNNNNNNNNNNNNNNNNNNNNNNNNNNNNNNNNNNNNNNNNNNNNNNNNNNNNNNNNNNNNNNNNNNNNNNNNNNNNNNNNNNNNNNNNNNNNNNNNNNNNNNNNNNNNNNNNNNNNNNNNNNNNNNNNNNNNNNNNNNNNNNNNNNNNNNNNNNNNNNNNNNNNNNNNNNNNNNNNNNNNNNNNNNNNNNNNNNNNNNNNNNNNNNNNNNNNNNNNNNNNNNNNNNNNNNNNNNNNNNNNNNNNNNNNNNNNNNNNNNNNNNNNNNNNNNNNNNNNNNNNNNNNNNNNNNNNNNNNNNNNNNNNNNNNNNNNNNNNNNNNNNNNNNNNNNNNNNNNNNNNNNNNNNNNNNNNNNNNNNNNNNNNNNNNNNNNNNNNNNNNNNNNNNNNNNNNNNNNNNNNNNNNNNNNNNNNNNNNNNNNNNNUUCCUCCAAUCAAAUAGGGCCUUUGGUAAUAACACUGUUCUUUGGUGAUCAUAUCUCAAUUUUUAACUCUGUCCAAAGGUCUAGAGGAUUCUCUAUAGUCAGAUACUGAUCUUUGAAACUCUUAAUAAGACGAUGGCUAAUAAUAAAUAUUUCCAUGUAUCAAUCUUUCUCAUUGGCAUUAUUGCCUUCUAUGAUACAUUCACCAAGUCUUUUUGACUUUGGGAUAAUCUUUGUAUCCAAUGCCCACCGUAAAUAAUUAUCUCCAGAGAGAUUUAGGGCAGCAAAAUCCAGGUUGAUUUUCGACAUCUCAAAUCAUAUAUCACUCAAUAUUUAGGUAUAAUUUUCAUGCGGCCUUACUCUUAAAAACAAUCAAUUCGGAUUUCAAUCUUGUGAGGACAAUGAGACUAUCAAUCUUAAAGACAUUUAAUCAAUCAGACAAUUUCUAGCAAGUCUCAGCAAUACUAUUUCUUUGUGCUCAUAAUAUUAUGGUUUAUCAAGACUAGCAAAAACGGAUUCAAUUAAUCAUGCAAUUUGGGUUUAACAAUCAAUGGAUUUUAGCAAGACUAGUAAAAAGAUUUAUUAAUCACUCAAUCAGUUUCAAUGCUGAUUUUAGAAAUACUAGAAUAUAAAUUUCAAGCAUGAAUUUCAAUGAAUCAGUUUCAAGGCUGAUUGGUAUUUAGCAUAAACCAUGUGUAAAUAAUUUAUCUAGUAUCCGAAUUUAUCAAACCUCAAAAACAUAUAAUCAGAUCAAUCAAUUUAAUCGAACUUAGCAUACAAUCUUAAACCUCAAGACAUUAGAUUUUAUCAUGAAUCUAUCAACCUAGCAUACGGAUUCUCAAUUCUCAAAGACAUCCAAAUCAGAUCAAUAUAACCUAUCAUACAGAUUAUUUAGGGUUUCUAUUUAAAACAGAUCAGAUUACAAAACUAUCAAUCCUAGCAGAUAAUAUUAAACCUAAAGAAUCAUACAAUCAGAUCAUUCGGAUUUUAAAAAAGUAAACCUUAAUCAAUCUAUCAACCUAUCGGAUUAUAUAAGCAAAGGAAGCUAGCAACCUAUCGGAUUCAAUCAGUGUUUUAACAGGCUGAUCGGUUUAAACAAUUUUAAAUCAGAUGAACAAUUAACCAAGCAGGAUGAGAAAAUAAAUCUAUCAAUUUAACGGUCAAACAAUUCUAGCAACAUAGCAUCAGAUUCAAUCAGAUUUAAAACCUCAAUGAUCAAAACCGAAAACAGUUUUGAUUUCAAAAUAUUCGAUUAGGGUUUUAAUAUGUGAUUUGAUAAUUAUAGUAUAAUUAAUUCUGAUACUUAUAUUAUUUAGGGUUUAUAGAUAUAGGGUUAGGGUUUAUCGGAUUUUAACUUGUAAAAACCGAUUUGGGGUUUUAAUCAUGUAGGAACAUGAUUUAGGGUUUGGGGUAUCGAACUUUUAGAGCUUCGAUUUACUCAAUUAGGAUUUUUGAUCUAUUACCCUAUGGUUUUGAUUCAUAAAGAUUAGGGUUUUAGGGUUUCAUUCUUUAUCAAUCAAUCCAUGUUCGAUUAUGGGUUCUUAGGUUUUGAAUUACCUUUUAACCUUAGAUGAUUGUUGAAUCGGACCACCAAAGGAGUUGAGCCGCGAGCUGGACACGAACGGGACGCGAGCUGGAAUGGAUCGAGUCGCUUCUAUCGGGUCGCGGACGUCCUUUGUUGCUUGAUCGGGAACGCCUUGAUCGUCGGACGCGAGCUGUCUGAUGCUGUCGCGAACGAGGAAGAGGUCGCGUGCUGGAGCUGCUCUCGGGUCGCGAACGUCUGAGCUAGGAUCAGGAACGCCUUGGGCUGAAGCUGAUCGGGGACGCGAGCUGGAACAGAUGCGGGAACAAGAGACGCGAUCGGAGUUUAGGGUUCGUCGGAUCGCCGACUAGGGUUAGGGUUUUAGGGUUUUUCGAUUUUGGUAUUAGCUUAGGGAUUUAAAGUUUCGUGCUGAUAACGUGUUAUAAAAGUAAUGGAAAAGUCUAUCUUUAUUCAUAACAUAGAGGUUCCUUAUAUAGGAGAUUACACCGUCAUAGAUAAUUGGAAAGAUUACAAAUCAUAAUUUCUUGGUUAUGAGCCAUCCACGAUCUGGUUCAUAACCAGAGUUAAUUUGUUUGAAGCUGGAUGACAUACAGAUUAACAACAUUGAUAUUUUUAUCUGGGAGUACAUCUUAUUUUAUUUAAAAACUUGAAAUAUUCGAUACUUUUACUGGAAUAAUCCAAAUUAUCCACCUUUUGUACUUUUACGAGACAUUGUAUUUUUCAUAAUUUUAUCGUUUCGUACUUUGAUUGUUCGUCGCAUUAGAACCUCAGUUGGGUCAAAGCAUGACGUGUUUCUUUCGCUAUCCAAGUUUUUCAAUAUUAAAUAUAUUCAUGAUGAGUCUAAGGUUUUGGAACAAGAACGUUGUAACACCCGUAUUUUCCGAAAUAAUUUAAUGAAUAAUAAAUCUAAAAUCUCCAUUUAUUACUUCUCAAAAGUCAAUUCCAAAAUCGUAAAUCCAAUAAAUGGCAAUCCAAAUAAUAUAAUAAAUCUUGAAGAUAUCGAUAAAAUUAUAAAAACCGCAAGUCUAAAAAUGAAAGAAAUAAAACUCCCAAAGCACCAAUCCGAUAGCAAUCACUCCUGCUCGUUAGUCUCACCUGAAAGGGGGAAAGAAGAAGGGGUGAGUAACAAGGGAGUUACUCCGUGAGGUAUGAGAUGCUAAACCACAAACCACUGAUUCAGUACAUAGCACUACGACUUUGUAAGCCUAGCUCUAGCAUGAAACAAACACGGUGUCUAAUACACCGCAUAAAACAUCAAAUGCGCUGAUAGUGCAUAACUAGAUCACACACCCGGCAUUCUCCUUAUACGGAUAUAAAUAUAUAACUCUAUGCGACGCUAGUACAAGAGUCCAUCCUUGUACCCCGCAAUCACCUAUGCGCCGCUAGUACAAACAUCUUUGUACCCCGCAAUCUCCAUACAAUGCGCCGCUAGCAUAGACGUCCAUAUGCCCCGCAAUCUCCAUACAAUGCGCCGCUAACACAAACGUCUUUGUGUCCCGCAAUCUCGACACAAUGCAUCGUUAGCACAACAUCUUUGUGCCCCGUAAUCUCAUAACAGACUUAUGUAUACAUAUAUAAAUAACAGUCUUUAAUUCAUUCAAUUCAGUCAACCGUUGAAUCCUCUAUUAUCCUAUUUCCGGUUUAACAAUCAAUAGUAAUAAUAAACAAACAAGACUCUCAAACAGACUCAAUUCACAGACACAGAUCAUGUUUCGAAACUAAGCUUUCAAUAAUAGUAGUACAAAACUAGCUUGUGAUUUAAUGGGAUAACCCUCACCUUAACCAUAACGGAAAACCAGAAACGGAUCCGACAAUAAACAAGAUGACUUGAUCAACAAGAAAGCUAAGGUUUCACCAUAGAUCUCAAUCUCGAUCUCGUCAACGACACACCAGAGCGGAAAAGAAUAGAAGCAAAACAAUAAGACAUGAUUAAAAUAUAUUUAAUUUAGGAUUUAAGAAACUUGCAACACAAGAAAUUAAUAUAGUUUCUUUUAACCUUCACGGCUUGGAAUCAUAGUGGCAGAUCCCAGCCCCAAAAGUGCAUGGUCCUCUCCGAUGACUCACAGUUGAUGAUAACAGCUGGUCGGAUUGAAACGGUGGCCCCGGUCGUGGUGAUCCGUGCCGAUGGUGUCAAGAUGCGAUGACUCCUGCUCGUACGUCUUCCUCAAUGCACUAACGUAUCAGCAACCAUAGAAGAAAGAUAACUUGAGGGAGGAGAUGAAGGAGGAGCACGUGUGUGGAGGUGGAGAGGAAGAGAGAUAAUCAAAGGAGAUGAUAGCAAUGACGGCUCCACUCUCGACAAAUCUCUACUAAUAAAAGGGACCUUUCGAGACUCCUUAGAGCGUCCACAUCAGCCGAAAAAAACUUAUUCCUAAAGAUGACACAUGGCAUAAAAUAUAGUUUUACAUUUUAAUAUUACUAAUUUUCGAAAAUUAUAAAUAAUAUGUAAACAUACAGCAUAAAAAAUGAAAAAAUUACAUUAAACAUAUGUAAGAUUACCAUUUUUCACUUGAAAAAAGACGGCUUAUCUCCGUAAUGUAGCAUUACCGUUUUAUAAAAAAAAUAAAAAAUAUUAUAUAUAAUUUCGAAAAUAAUAAAUAUAUGUAAACAUACAACAAAAAAAAUAGAAAUACUACAUUAAACAUAUGUAAGAUUACCAUUUUACAUUUUUAUUUUUAAAAAAUAAUAUGUAAACAUACAACAUAAAAAAAAAGGAACCUUUUGAGGCUCCAUAGAGCGUCCACAUCAGCAAAAAAACUUCUUCCGAAAGAUGACACGUGGCAUAAAAUAUAGUUUUACAUUUUAAUAUUACUAAUUUUCAAAAAUUAUAAAUAAUAUGUAAACAUACAGCAUAAAAAAUGAAAAAACUACAUUAAACAUAUGAAAAAUUACCAUUUUUCACUUAAAAAAAAGACGGCUUAUCCAAGUAAUGAAUAUCUUGGAUUGAUUUUCAAAAAAAUGAAAAAACUACAUUAAACAUAUGAAAAAUUACCAUUUUUCACUUAAAAAAAAGACGGCUUAUCUUCAUAAUGUAACAUUACCGUUUUAUAAAAAAAACAAAAAACAUUAUAUAUAAUUUCGAAAAUAAUAAAUAUAUGUAAACAUACAACAUAAAAUAUGGAAAUACUACAUUAAACAUAUGUAAGAUUACCAUUUUACAUUUUUAUUUUUAAAAAAUAAUAUGCAAACAUACAACAUAAAAAAUGGAAAAACUACAUUAAGCAUAUGUAAGAUUACCAUUUUUCACUAAAAAAAAGACGGCUUAUUUCCAUAAUGUAACAUUACUAUUUUGUAAAAAAAAAACAUUAUAUAUAAUUUCGAAAAUAAUAAAUAAUAUGUAAACAUACAGCAUAAAAAAAGGAAAUACUACAUUAAACAUAUGUAAGAUUAUCAUUUUACAUUAAAAAUAACAAUAAUAUAUAAACAUACAACAUAAAAAAAAGGAAAAACUAUAUUAAACAUAUGUAAGAUUACCGUUUUUCACUAAAAAAAAGGCUUAUCUCCAUAAUGUAACAUUACCAUUUUAUAAAAAAAAAACAUAAAUAUAACUAUUUGACUAUUUGUCCAAGUUCUUGUAUUAAACAUUUGCCGUUUUACAUUAAAAAUGAAAAAAACAUUAAGAUUUAAACAUUUAUCUUAAAAUAUAAAAUAUAGAUAUUAACUAAAUAUAAAGUAUAAGAAAGAGAAAUACUCAAUAUAUAGAAAAAUAAAUAAUAAGUAAAUAUUAUAAAUAUAUAAAUAUAUGAAUUAUAUAUACAAUAAUAAGUAAAUGCACAAUUUUUAAAAUAUGGAAAGAGUACAUUAAAUAUUAAACAUAUAGAUAUUAAGUAAAUAGAAAGUAUAAAAAAAAAGAAAUACACAACUUAAAAAAAAUAGAAAAAGUAUAUUAAUAUUUAAACAUCUAUCUUAAAAUGUAAAAUAUAGACAUUACGCAAAUAGAAAGUAUAAGAAAAGGAAAUACACAAUUUAAAAAAAUGAAAAAAGUACAUUAGUAUUUAAACAUCUAUCUUAAAAUGUAAAUCUAUCUUAAAAUAUAAAAUUAUUUGUAAAUAGAAAGUAUAAGAAAUAGAAAUACACAUUAUAAAGAAAAAUAAAUAAUAAGUAAAUAUAUGAUAUAAGUAAAUACGCAAUUUAAAAAUGGAAAAUUACAUUAAGAUUUAAAAAUAUAUCUUAAAAUUUAAAAUAUAGAUAUUACGUAAAUAGAAAGUAUAACAAAUGGAAAUAUACAAUUUAAAGAAAAUGGAAAAUGUACAUUAAGAUUUAAACAUCUAUCUUAAAAUGUAAAAUAGAGAUAUUAAGUAAAUAAAAAGUACAUGAAAUGGAAAUACAUAUACAGAAAAAUAAAUAAUAAGUAAAUAAUAUAAAUAUAUAAUAUAUGAAUUAUAUAUAAUAAUAAGUAAAUGAACAAUUUUUUUUAAAAAAUGGAAAAAGUUCAUUAAGCAUUAAACAUCUAUCUUAAAAUGUAAAAUAUAUAAUAUAAGUAAAUACACAAUUUAAAAAAAUGGAAAAAGUACAUUAAGAUUUAAAUAUCUAUUUUAAAAUAUAAAAUAUAGAUAUUACGUAAAUAAAAAAUAUAAGAAAUGGAAAUAAACAUUUAAAAAAAUGGAAAAAGUACAUUAUGAUUUAAACAUCUAUCUUAAAAUAUACAUAUAUCUUAAAAUGGUAGUAAAUUGUAUAAAAAUGGAAAUACCACAUUAAACAAAAAAAAAUGUAUAGUUUUACAUCAAGAAAGUCCCUAUAAAAUUCAUUAUUCCAUCAACAUCAACCUCACACUAUCAAGGAAAACUUCAAAGCACUCGAGCAAAAAAAUGGUUCCACCAUCAACUAUUGCCGUCCCAAAAACCUUUAAUGACCUUGAAGGAGAUUUUUUAUAACAACGAACUUUUUGUUAUGUGAAUUCAUUGUUGGGAAACCCGCAACUUCUAAAAGCCAAACUUAUUCAUGAGAAUUGAAUUGCUUUUCAUAGACUCAAAGGUAUUGUUACAAAUUUAAAUUAAUCUAAUCCAUAAUUUUAUUGUUAAUAUUCAUACUAACUCUUUCAUGAUCAAACCAUUACAGUUAAUAACCAUUCAAGCGUUUAUCCCGAAACACUUCUUUCCACGCCGAAUCAGGUAUUGGUUCAUAUUGGUUUAGUAUUGUUUUUGGUUUAUUAACCGGUUUAGGAUGGUCCUAUUGUAAAUAUAAUUUAAGUUGGUUUAGCAUAUAUUAUGCAUAAAAUAAAUUAAAUUCAAUAAUAGUAAUAUUAUGCUUAAAAUAUAAUUUUAGAGAGUUUUCAAAUAUAGUUUACAGAACAUUAUAGGUGAUGAAUUUAAUUUAUUAAUUUCGUUUAUUACUUAAAACUAAGUUUUUAAAAAAAAAACAUAUUGAGUUAUAAAUAUCAAUGCUGGAUUGGUGAGUAUAACAUGAAGACAAAAAUAUAAAUAUUUCAUUUUCAAGAUAAGAAAUUCAGCUUUUAUUCAGUUACUCAAUAUAUAAUAGCUUAAAUUAUUUUUUAUAAAAAUAUACAUAAUUUAUAUAUAUAUAGAUUAAUCUUCCAAACUUAAACUAUUAUAUUAUUUAUGAAUAUUUUUUUAAAAUAAAAAUAAUUUCUGAUUUAAAAAAAAAUAAAAACAACAAAUGGUUAUUUUCAAAUAAUGGAUGUAAUUUACAUUAUACUAUCAUUUAACAAGUAUUAGAUACGUUUUGAUAUAUCAUUAUUUUCUAUUUCCAGAAAAAAAUAAAUUGUUAAAUAUCAAUAUCAUCUAGGUUAAGUAUACUAACAUCACAAAUUCAAACAUCACAAAAAAUAUUCACAUAAACAUUAUAAUACAAUAAUUUAAUCAAAAAAUACAAUUCAAAAAAACAAUAUUCAAAAGAAUAGUUAUAUACUUAAUAUUUGAAAAUCAAAGAUAUUUUUGCUAAAAUUGUACUUACCUGGCCAAGGAGAUCGACCAUCUUUUUACGGAUCGAUCGAUUGUUGAGCAUGUGGUCGAUCCGAAAAUACUCUGCAGUUUAAUUAAAUAUCUAAAACAUUUAUUCCAACACUCAACAGAUAGUUUUGCUAAAUAUGAUAACUAGAUAGCCAACAAAAUUACAAAAGAAUAUAUUUAAAUAGUAAAAAAUAUGUUAAUUUAACGUGUUAAAAUUUGAAAAUAAAUUUUAAUUAUGACAUGCAUUUUAACAUUGUUGGGAAACCCGCAACUUCCAAAAGCCAAACUUAUUCAUGGGAAUUGAAUUGAUUUUCAUAGACUCAAAGGUAUUGUUACAAAUUUAAAUUAAUCUAAUCCAUAAUUUUAUUGUUAAUAUUCAUACUAACUCUUUCAUGAUCAAACCAUUACAGUUAAUAACCAUUCAAGCGUUUAUCCCGAAACACUUCUUUCCACGCCGAAUCAGGUAUUGGUUCAUAUUGGUUUAGUAUUGUUUUUGGUUUAUUAACCGGUUUAGGAUGGUCCUAUUGUAAAUAUAAUUUAAGUUGGUUUAGCAUAUAUUAUGCAUAAAAUAAAAUAAAUUAAAUAAUAGUAAUAUUAUGCUUAAAAUAUAAUUUUAGAGAGUUUUCAAAUAUAGUUUACAGAACAUUAUAGGUGAUGAAUUUAAUUUAUUAAAUUCGUUUAUUACUUAAAACUAAGUUUUUUUAAAAACAUACUGAGUUAUAAAUAUCAAUACUGGAUUGGUGAGUAUAACAUGAAGACAAAAAUAUAAAUAUUUCAUUUUCAAGAUAAGAAAUUCAGCUUUUAUUCAGUUACUCAAUAUAUAAUAUCUUAAAUUAUUUUUUAAAAAAUAUACAUAAUUUAUAUAUAUAGAUUAAUCUUCUAAACUUAAACUAUUAUAUUAUAUAUGAAUAAUUUUUUUAAAUAAAAAUAAUUUCUGAUUUAAAAAAAAAAUAAAAACAACAAAUGGUUAUUUUCAAAUAAUGGAUAUAAUUUACAUUAUACUAUCAUUUAACAAGUAUUAGAUACGUUUUGAUAUAUCAUUAUUUUCUAUUUCUAGAAAAAAAUAAAUUGUUAAACAUCAAUAUCAUCUAGGUUAAGUAUACUAACAUCACAAAUUCAAACAUCACAAUAAAUAUUCACAUAAACAUUAUAAUACAAUAAUUUAAUCAAAAAAUACAAUUCAAAAAAACAAUAUUCAAAAGAAUAGUUAUAUACUUAAUAUUUGAAAAUCAAAGAUAUUUUUGCUAAAAUUGUACUUACCUGGCCAAGGAGAUCGACCAUCUUUUUACGGAUCGAUCGAUUGUUGAGCAUGUGGUCGAUCCGAAAAUACUCUACAGUUUAAUUAAAUAUCUAAAACAUUUAUUCCAACACUCAACAAAUAGUUUUGCUAAAUAUGAUAACUAGAUAGCCAACAAAAUUAUAAAAAAAAUAUUUAAAUAGUAAAAAAUAUGUUAAUUUAACGUGUUAAAAUUUGAAAAUAAAUUUUAAUUAUGACAUGCAUUUUAAAAUUUAUAUAAAUAUAUAUCAUAACCUAAAUAUAAAUAAUUUAACAACUUAAAUUAGAAAAAAAUAAAAAUUCCGAGCGUAGCCCGGGUUAAUCCCUAGUAAAUAAAAAGAAUAAGGUUUUGAUUCCUUUUAAAUACACACACGCACAAUAAGAAGGAUAUGUAUUUGGUUUAGGAGAUGGUUUGGUUGAAUCCAAAUUAAUUAAAGAAAAAAAAUCAGACCAAUCGGCUAAAGAAACCGGGUCGUUACAAAGGUAUGAAGCAAAAAAACUCAAAUAUUUUUAAAAACAAUCGAUCCCCUAGACUAUAUUUGCGAAAUGAUUUUGCCACACGUCUUUUCUACUAUCAAUUUCACAAAAAAAAUAUGACAUGACAAUUGAAAUUGAUGACAUGUCUUAUAGCUUAAUAUGACAUGGACAAUUGCAUUUAAUGUUAAUUUAUAUUUUUGGUAAACUUUUUAAAAUAUGGUAAUAAUUCAUAUAUUACAUUUAAUGUCAAUUUAUAUUGGGCAAAUCUCCAAAAUAGCACAUUUCUAAGUUUAUAUCACAAAAAUAACACUUCAAAACUAAAAUGACCAAAAUAGCACAUUUCUAAGUUUAUCCUUUGAAAAUUUUAAUUUUUUUAUUUUUCAAAAUUUGAAAUCUUAUCCCCAAAACCUCAUUUCUCAACUCUAAACCCUAAACCCUAAACUCUAAACCGUAAAUCCUAAACUCUAAACCCUAAACCCUAAACCCUAAACCCUAAAUUCUAAACCCUAAACCCUAAAUUCUAAACCCUAAACCCUAGACCCUAAACCCUAAACCCUAAUCUAUAAACCCUAAACUCUAAACCAUAAACCCUAAACCCUAAAUCCUAAACCCCACCCUUUAACUUUAAACCCUAAGUUUGUGACUUUUAAUAAAACAUUAAGUGCUAUUUUUGUGAUUUUUGACCUUGAGUGCUAGUUUGGGAACAAAAACUUGAUUUAGUGCUAUUUUUGUCUUUUUCUCAUUUAUAUUUUAGGAAUUUUUUUUAGAAUAUGGGAAUAACUCAAAACUCAUCAUUAAAAUAAAUAUAUUCAAAUAUGGCAUUAUAAAUUUUGAAAUAUAAUUUAAUUAUAUAUUUUUUAAAUUAUACAAUUUUAUUACUAAAAUUUUCAAAAAUGUAUACAUUUUUUUUAGAAAAUAAUAAAAAUUUAAUUGUAAAAUCAUUAUUUUCUUAUAUGUCUACAAAUUUUAUAAAUGGCAAAUCUCCAAAAUAGCACCUUUCUAAUUUUAUAUCACAAAAAUAGCACUCAAAAACUAAAAUGACCAAAAUAGCACAUUUCUAAGUAUAUCCUUUGAAAAUUUUAAUUUUUUUAUUUUUCAAAAUUUGAAAUCUUAUCCCCAAAACCUCAUUUCUCAACUCUAAACUCUAAACCCUAAACCCUAAACCCUAAACCCUAAACCCUAAAUCCUAAACUCUAAACCCUAAACCCUAAACUCUAAACCCUAAAUCCUAAACCCUAAACCCUAAACUCUAAACCCUAAACCCUAAACUCUAAACCCUAAACCCUAAACCCUAAAUCCUAAACCCCACCAUUUAACUCUAAACCCUAAGUUUGUGACUUUUGAUAAAACAUUAAGUGCUAUUUUUGUGAAUUUUGACCUUGAGUGCUAGUUUGGGAACAAAAACUUGAUUUAGUGUUAUUUUUGUCUUUUUCUCUUUUAUAAAUAUUGUUUAAUUUUAAUUUUUGGUAAUUAUGCAACUUUUGCAAAUUUAUUUAAUAUAUUUAAUGAAAAUAAAUAGAUAGAAAAUCUAUCUAAGAUUAUAAUUUAAAAUAUAUACAUGCAUAUUCUUAAAUAUAAUUUUUAUGUUUAAUUAAAUCAAAUUUAUAUUAAAAUAUUGAUACGAAAAAGAAAAUUUACAAUAUUGAUAAAAUUUUAUUUUAAAAUAUAAUUUAUAUUUAUCUGUUAAAAAUAUUUUAAAUUUUUUUAUGCACAUCUAGUUUCUGUUAAACUUGAAGAACGAAUACUAACUAGCACAGGAAGAGACGGCUAAAGUUAUACAGAUUCUUGGUCUACCGGGGAGAGAUGAUUACCAUACACAUUUCAGAACAAAAAGGAGUAUCAGAUUCUCUUGAAGUAAAAAAGGUAUCAGAUACUAAUUCUUCAUUUUGUCACCAUCGAACAAUCUUUGAAUUCAAAACAUGUAUCAGAUACUCUAGCUCUCCGUUACCCCACGGUCCCCACCUUCUGACGAUCUCACUUCUCUUUCAUCGAACGCAGGUUUUAUUUUAGAGAGUAAUCCAUUCUGUUAUAAAAAUAAUGGAAAAAUCUAUCUUUAUUCAUAACAUAGAGAUUCUUUAUAUAGGAGAUUACACCGUGAUAGAUAAAUGAAAAGAUUACAAAUCAUAAUCUCUUGGUUAUACGCCAUUCACAAUCUGGUUCAUAACACUCCCCCUUGGAUGCCAUAAACAUUUAGAGCUUGUAAUGUGCUUUAAUGUUGUUUCAUUAAAAUCUUACCAGGAAAACUCAAUUGGGACAAAACCAUGGUGAAGGAAAAAGAGUACAACAUACAUUACUUCCCCUGAUUUGGACAUUACUGAAGGUCCCUUGGACCUCUCCAAUUUUCUGCAAUCCGUGAGUGAUGAAGAUCUUGGGCAGAAUAUGCUUCGUCCUCGAACAUGAUAGUUGGUUCUUCUUUACCAUCGGCCAUGCCACAAUCUGAUCGAACAUAUUGAGUCAUCGACCUCAAAUACACACACACGAAAUCUAGGAUGAUGUUGCUGUGAUAUGCCUGUACCACCAUGUGUAAAACAUAACCUGUCUGAAAACAAAUCAACAAAACCAAAUAACCCCUCUUUGCUGCAAGUCUAAUUUUCUCUCUUAUAUAGCCAGACUUAUGAGAAAUCUAAAAGUAGUUGCAUCCACCACAUGGGAGUAUGUCUCCUCAUAAUCUAUUACUGGUCUUUGUGAGAAUCCUUGUGCAACAUCAACUUUAUAUCUCACGAUUUCUAUUCAUCACAAGACCCAUUUAUAUCCACUGGUUUUAACAUCAUAUGGUGUCUUAAUCAUAUGGCCAAAUACGCAUUUCUUCCUUAAACUAUUUAACCCCACGUUUCCAUUCAAUCCAAUCUGUUAUACGAGUGCGCACUCUUAUAUUGACGUGGGUUCAUGAUCCUCACUUAUAUUCAUAAAUUCAAGUGCUACCUUGUAUGCAAAUAAAUCAUCUUAUGUCGACAUUCCUUAUUGGUUCCAUUAUGUUCCAGACAUGAUAUAAUCGAUUGAGAUUCAUUAUUAUCAGGACCUUUAAUACUUUGCAGCUUGGUGUCCCAAGCUACAUUGUUUGGUACCUGUGCCUUAGAGCCGGCCGGCCUUAUCUCCAUGUCUGGGAUGGUUUCCUUAGUAACCUCGGAUUUGGAUUUUGAUUAUCAUUCUCUGCACCUUUCUUUUGUUUCCGAGGAUUUUGUUUCCGAGGAUUCUUAUCUUUUGGAACCUAUUUGGUCUACCACGUUUCAUACGUUGUCUAGACUCUGUAGCAACUUGACUGUGUCUCUUCUUGGACAUCAAAUUCGUUGGUGCUUUACAAGCUGGUUUAUAUAUGACUUAGUCAUUCUUUUUUGGGUCAGAAAAUGUGUCUGGCAUUUGAUUAGCUAGCUUUGUAAAUGUAUAAUCUUUGGACGUCUAUUUCACAUUCUUUAGUCAGAGGAUCUUGCCAAGACAUUGAUGGUUGAUUCCAUUUUAUUUCAUUUACCAUUCUUUUACCAGCUUUAUUAUUUUUUUCUCCUCCUGGUCUUAAAAUAAUUCGUGUACCUGGCCUAAAAUAUAAUCACCCAUAGUUGGCUCAAAGUACUUUAUUAUUGUGGGAGAAUCAUAUCCAACAUAUAUCCCCAUCCUCCUUUUGUGGUCCCAUCUUAGUUCUUUGUGGUGGAGCAACUAGUACAUAGACAGCAUAUCCAAAUGUCUUAUGAUGGGGUAUGUCUGGCUCUUGACCCGUUAAUAAUUAUGAUAGGGGAUAUCUAUGCUCACUAAAUGGUCUGAUGCGUAUUAACUUAGGUGCAUGUAAAUUUUGUGUAGCCCAAGCUGUGAAUGAGAGUUUUGACCUCAUAAGUUAUGGUCCAUCAAUCAGCUAUUUGCGUUUUAAAAGAUUUCGGCCAAGCCGUUCUUGGUAUGGACAUGUAUCACAGAAUUGUCCACACUUACCCCAAUGGACAUACCAUAAUCAUUUAAACGCUUGGGACAUGUAUUCACCAGUAUUAUCUAGACAUAUAGUCUUUAUUUAUGAAAAAGGGGCUCGAAGCCGUUUUACUGGUGAUGGCCUAAUGAGUUUCCCUUGUGUACAUGCUACACACGUGAGAUGCUUUGGGAUAACUCUUGUUAUCUUUUAAUGUGUGCCUUUUGAAUAUCAAUUUUUGCAUCAUGUUUGGACCAGGAAGGCCAAUCCGGUCGUGCCAUAAAGUGUAUAUUUUCGUAGGUUUUUAGCCUCUAUCAUAUUGAUCUAUGCAUAGUCUAGGUCAGUAGAGAAUGCAUGUGUAGUCUUUAGGACUUAUUAUGGCCUUGGGCGAUUUUAUACAUAUAUCUGAAGGAACUCUUUGUUUCCUUCGCCCAUUGUUUCAAUAUGGAAACCAUUCAUUCUUAUAUCUUUAAAACUCAAUAGGCUGCUCUUGCUCUUAGAGCUGGGUGAAUAUAAGGCAUCACUGAUUUCUAGAUGCAUACCCUUAGGCAGUAAUAUAUUACCCUAGCCAUAGUCUUCUUUCAGACUGGCGGUACUUGCUUUAGUACUUAUAUUGGCGUUUUCAGUGUACUCAUAUAGAAAAAUCAUUCAUUCGUUUAAUCUAAGUAGACAAUGUAAUAGAAAUAAAUUCAUGGAGAUAAAAAAGAGAAAAAGCAUACAAGCAAAGCAAUCACACAAGUUUGAUGUCGAAAUCAGAUUAUCAACUUGAUUCUUUUAGGCAAUCAUAAGUCUCAUAUUCCGUAAGAUCAUCUUGAUCAUGUUCGAAAUUAUUUUCACCAUCUUUAUAGACCAAGUGGGUUUCAGGAUUCUUCCCUUUCAGACUCUCUUUGAUAGAGGUCACAAAAAUGUUUGGGAGUCCUUCAUAUUUUAGCCCAAUGGUUCCCCAUUCCACAUCUAUGCACAUUGAUUUGGUCGAGCUUUGUGGUUUAAAAGAUAUACCACGGCCACUGCCUUGACCAUGGCUCAAAUUGGGUUGAUACCCACGGCCUCUGCCAUAGUGAUUCCCACGGCCAAAUGCGUUAUAGUGGCCAUGGCCACGUCCUUUCCACCCUCCACGGCCAUGACCGUGUGGUCUAUCAUUCUGGACGUGGUUACCUUUUUUUUUCUUCUGCGGCCUUAUUGGUAUCAGGUAAUGGGGUUAAUCCAGGAGGUCUCAAUUCACUGUUUCUCAUCAGUAAUCCAUUAUUUUACCCAGCUAGCAAUAGACUCAUCCACAGACUUAUAGUCCUGGAUUCUGGGAUUCCUCCAAUCAAAUAUGGCAUUUGGUAAUAACACCGUUCUUUGGUGAUCAUAUCUCGAUUUUUAACUCUGUCCAAAGGUCUAGAGGAUUCUCUAUAGUCAGAUACUGAUCUUUGAGACUCUUAAUAAGAUGAUGACUAAUAAUUAAUAUUGCCAUGUAUCAAUCUUUCUCAUUGGCAUUAUUGUCUUCUAUGAUACAUUCACCAAGUCUUUUUGACUUUUGGAUAAUCUUUUUAUCCAAUGCCCACCAUAAAUAAUUAUCUCCAGAGAGAUUUAGGGCAGCAACAUCCAGGUUGAUUUUCGACAUCUCAAAUCAUAUAUCACUCAAUAUUUAGGUAUAAUUUUCAUGCGGCCUUACUCUUAAAAAACAAUCAAUUCGGAUUUCAAUCUUGUGAGGACAAUGAGACUAUCAAUCUUAAAGACAUUUAAUCAAUCAGUCAAUUUCUAGCAAGUCUCAGCAAUAUUAUUUCUAUGUGCUCAUAAUAUUAUGGUUUAUCAAGACUAGCAAAAACUGAUUCGAUUAAUCAUGCAAUUAGGGUUUAACAAUCAAUGGAUUUUAGCAAGACUAGUAAAAAGAUUUAUUAAUCACUCAAUCAGUUUCAAGGCUGAUUUUAGCAAUACUAGAAUAUAGAUUUCAAGCAUGAAUUUCAAUGAAUCAGUUUCAAGGCUGAUUGGUAUUUACCAUAAACCAUGUGUAAAUAAUUUAUCUAGUAUCCGAAUUUAUCAAACCUCAAAAACUUAUAAUCAGAUCAAUCAAUUUAAUCGAACUUAGCAUACAAUCUUAAACCUCAAGACAUUAGAUUUUAUCAUGAAUCUAUCAACCUAGCAUACGGAUUCUCAAUUCCCAAAGACAUCUAAAUCAGAUCAAUAUAACCUGUCAUACGGAUUAUUUAGGGUUUCUAUUUAAAACAGAUUAAAUUACAAAACUAUCAAUCCUAGCGGAUGAUAUUAAACCUCAAGACUCAUGCAAUCAGAUCAUUCGGAUUUUAAACAAGUAAACCUCAAUCAAUCUAUCAACCUAUCAGAUUAUAUAAGCAAAGCAAGCUAGCAACCUAUCGGAUUCAAUCAAUGUUUUAACAGUCUGGUCGGUUUAAGCAAUUUUAAAUCAGAUGAACAAUUAACCAAGCAGGAUGAGAAAAUAAAUCUAUCAAUUUAACGGUCAAACAAUUCUAGCAACAUAGCAUCAGAUUCAAUCAGAUUUAAAACCUCAAUGAUCAAAACCGAAAACAUUUUUUAUUUCAAAAUAUUCGAUUAGAGUUUUAAUAUGUGAUUUGAUAAUUAUAGUAUAAUUAAUUCUGAUACUUAUAUUAUUUAGGGUUUAUAAAUAUAUGGUUAGGGUUUAUCGAAUUUUAACUUGUAAAAACCGAUUUGGGAUUUUAAUCAUGUAGGAACAUGAUUUAGGGUUUGGGGUAUCAAACUUUUAGAGCUUCGAUUUACUCAAUUAGGAUUUUUGAUCUAUUACCCUAUGGUUUUGAUUCAUAAAGAUUAGGGUUUUAGGGUUUCAUUCUUUAUCAAUCAAUCCAUGUUUGAUUAUGGGUUCUUAGGUUUUGAAUUACCUUUUAACCUUAGAUGAUUGUUGAAUCGGACCACCAAAGGAGUUGAGCCGCGAGCUGGACACGAACGGGACGCGAGCUGUCUGAUGCUGUCGCGAACGAGGAAGAGGUCGCGUGCUGGAGCUGCUCUCGAGAAACGAACGUCUAGGCUAGGAUCAGGAACGCCUUGGGCUGAAGCUGAUCGGGGACGCGAGCUGGAACAGAUGCGGGAACAAGAGACGCGAUCAGGGUUUAGGGUUCGUCGGAUCGCCGGCUAGGGUUAGGGUUUUAGGGUAUUUCGAUUUUGGUAUUAGCUUAGGGAUUUAGAGUUUCGUGCUGAUAACGUGUUAUAAAAGUAAUGAAAAAGUCUAUCUUUAUUCAUAACAUAGAGGUUCCUUAUAUAACAGAUUACACCGUCAUAGAUAAAUGGAAAGAUUACAAAUCAUAAUCUCUUGGUUAUGAGUCAUUCACAAUCUGGUUCAUAACACAUUCAAGUUUUUCAAAUUAUUUUUGGAUUUUUAAUUCGUAUAAAUUAUGAGAAAAUUAUUUAGAUUAUUCUUUAUUCACUGAAACAUUAUUAGACUUACUCUCAUUAAACUCACAUAUUGCUUGAAUAGGUCCUAAAAUAUAUAAAAAAAUCAUCUAAAUUUAUUCUAUUUACAUUUGAUGCCAUUAUAUUCUAUAGUUAAGAAAAACAAAAUUAAAUCUGAUUUAAAAAUUAUGUACAGAACAAAAGCAAACUCGACACAGACAAAAAUUCUCUUUGUAUACUGUUUCCGAUUGACAACGGAAGUGUUGAAUUCUUUUUUUUUUGAAGUGAUAAUUCUAAAUAAGUCGUUUUUGUCAAAGAUUAAACAAAUUUUCUUUGGCUUUGUUUUUUUUCAUAGCUCAUAGAUAAGUAGUGCAAGGCUGCAAGCUAUCAAAUUUUUGACAGAAUAUUCUUUACAUAAUUAUCAAAUCCCAAGAAACUACGAGAAAAAAAGCUGGCUUGUUUCAUUUUGUCAAGCUCUACAAUACUUGGAGUUUAGUACGUGGAAUCAAAAAUCUUAUAUAUUUUGGUCAAUUUUAAAAUCCACUAUAUAUUAUUUGUGAAACAUUACAACUUCUUUUUGUAUCCACAUGUCAUCACUAAAAUGAUUCUUAGAAUAAUUAGAGAAAUAUGUUGGUCCAUCUAAUUAUAUAAUAAGCUUUUUAUUAAAUUAACCAUAAAUUCAUUAUUAAUAUCAUUUAUUAUUUCCUUAAAUAAAGAUUACGGAAUUGCCUAAUGUGGCUAAAGUAUAUAUGACAAUUAAUGAUUUUGAAUAAUAAAGAUCUGGUAAAAAAAUAAUGUAUCUUCUAUCAAAUUUGUUUAAUUUUAAACUAUUAAAAUAAUUUAAAAAAAUCACAAUAACCAUAUUAUAAAAAUUUAGAUUUUUCUGUAUAUGUUAUAUUUUGAAUUUAAAAAAACGACUUUAAAUUACUAAAACUGUUAAAAGUCUCACAUUCAAAUUUUGCGAUCCAUUGUUUAAAAUUUUUGUUAUGACAAAAUACAAAUGAUUACAAAAUCAUAUAAAUAAAAGUCUAAUUUAAUUAAUCAUUAAGAUUUAAAAUAUAUAUGUAUAUAUAUCAUUCUAAACUAAACUAUAAACCAUA
This 30277-nucleotide long non-coding RNA is filed under the name Brassica napus (rape). RNAcentral's name for it is "long non-coding RNA (BNAP_LNC017533)". The record is from RNAcentral. Lineage: Eukaryota; Viridiplantae; Streptophyta; Magnoliopsida; Brassicales; Brassicaceae.